GGGGGUGCAAGCGUUGUCCGGAAUCAUUGGGCGUAAAGCGUUCGUAGGCGGCACGUCAAGUUUGGUGUCAAAGCCCGGGGCUCAACUCCGGUCCGGCAUUGGAUACUGGCGAGCUAGAAUGCGGUAGAGGUGAAGGGAAUUCCUGGUGUAGCGGUGAAAUGCGUAGAUAUCAGGAGGAACACCGGUGGCGAAAGCGCUUCACUGGGCCGUUAUUGACGCUAAGGAACGAAAGCUAGGGUAGCAAA
RNAcentral lists this ribosomal RNA (245 nucleotides) under uncultured bacterium. RNAcentral describes it as "partial 16S ribosomal RNA". It matches the Rfam family "Bacterial small subunit ribosomal RNA", at positions 528 to 772 of the family's 1533-position model. The record is from RNAcentral.